GACGAACGCUGGCGGCGUGCCUAAUACAUGCAAGUAGAACGCUGAAGAGAGGAGCUUGCUCUUCUUGGAUGAGUUGCGAACGGGUGAGUAACGCGUAGGUAACCUGCCUGGUAGCGGGGGAUAACUAUUGGAAACGAUAGUUAAUACCGCAUAAAAUGGAUUAUCGCAUGAUAAUCCAUUGAAAGGUGCAAAUGCAUCACUACCAGAUGGACCUGCGUUGUAUUAGCUAGUUGGUGGGGUAACGGCUCACCAAGGCGACGAUACAUAGCCGACCUGAGAGGGUGAUCGGCCACACUGGGACUGAGACACGGCCCAGACUCCUACGGGAGGCAGCAGUAGGGAAUCUUCGGCAAUGGACGGAAGUCUGACCGAGCAACGCCGCGUGAGUGAAGAAGGUUUUCGGAUCGUAAAGCUCUGUUGUAAGAGAAGAACGAGUGGAGAGGGAAAGUUCACA
This 454-nucleotide ribosomal RNA is filed under the name Streptococcus sp. oral taxon 071. RNAcentral's name for it is "bacterial SSU rRNA". It matches the Rfam family "Bacterial small subunit ribosomal RNA", at positions 28 to 468 of the family's 1533-position model. Lineage: Bacteria; Bacillati; Bacillota; Bacilli; Lactobacillales; Streptococcaceae. The record is from RNAcentral.